This 234-nucleotide RNase P RNA is filed under the name Actinomycetota bacterium. RNAcentral describes it as "partial RNase P RNA component class A". It matches the Rfam family "Bacterial RNase P class A", at positions 1 to 228 of the family's 367-position model. From Rfam's summary of the family: Ribonuclease P (RNase P) is a ubiquitous endoribonuclease, found in archaea, bacteria and eukarya as well as chloroplasts and mitochondria. Its best characterised activity is the generation of mature 5'-ends of tRNAs by cleaving the 5'-leader elements of precursor-tRNAs. Lineage: Bacteria; Bacillati; Actinomycetota. The record is from RNAcentral.
UGAGUCGGUUGGGUGGUCGCGGCCGGGCAUGGACCCGGUCGAGGAAGGUCGGGACUCCGCAGGGCAGGGUGCUGGCUAACGGCCAGUCGGGGCGACCCGCAGGAAAGUGCCACAGAGAACAGACCGCCGAUGGACGGCUCCGGUCGUCACAGGUAAGGGUGCAACGGUGCGGUAAGAGCGCACCAGCGCCCGGGGUGACCCGGGCGGCUCGGUAAACCCCACUCGGAGCAAGGU